AGCUAUGAAGGAGUGAUUGAGCCAUAC
RNAcentral lists this small RNA (27 nucleotides) under Bombyx mori (domestic silkworm). RNAcentral's name for it is "ovarian small RNA-12136". The record is from RNAcentral. Lineage: Eukaryota; Metazoa; Arthropoda; Insecta; Lepidoptera; Bombycidae.